RNAcentral lists this transfer RNA (75 nucleotides) under Candidatus Eiseniibacteriota bacterium. RNAcentral's name for it is "tRNA-Gly". It matches the Rfam family "tRNA". From Rfam's summary of the family: Transfer RNA (tRNA) molecules are approximately 80 nucleotides in length. Their secondary structure includes four short double-helical elements and three loops (D, anti-codon, and T loops). Further hydrogen bonds mediate the characteristic L-shaped molecular structure. tRNAs have two regions of fundamental functional importance: the anti-codon, which is responsible for specific mRNA codon recognition, and the 3' end, to which the tRNAs corresponding amino acid is attached (by aminoacyl-tRNA synthetases). tRNAs cope with the degeneracy of the genetic code in two manners: having more than one tRNA (with a specific anti-codon) for a particular amino acid; and 'wobble' base-pairing, i.e. permitting non-standard base-pairing at the 3rd anti-codon position. The record is from RNAcentral. Lineage: Bacteria; Candidatus Eiseniibacteriota.
GCGGGUGUAACUCAGUGGUAGAGUAUCAGCUUCCCAAGCUGAGAGUCGCGGGUUCAACUCCCGUCACCCGCUCCA